RNAcentral lists this transfer RNA (76 nucleotides) under Candidatus Bathyarchaeota archaeon. RNAcentral describes it as "tRNA-Gly". It matches the Rfam family "tRNA". From Rfam's summary of the family: Transfer RNA (tRNA) molecules are approximately 80 nucleotides in length. The record is from RNAcentral. Lineage: Archaea; Thermoproteati; Candidatus Bathyarchaeota.
GCGGCUGUGGUCUAGUCUGGUCUAGGAUGGGAGCCCUCCAAGCUUCCGAUCGCGGGUUCAAAUCCCGCCAGCCGCA